CAUGCCAGGGUCGAGCGGGUCAGGGUAGGCGCAGUCCUCCCUCCCAUUUUUUCUCCCUUCCCUCCCCCAGGUUCUCCUUCCUGCCGACUAAAUUUAGAGGUGAGGAUGUCAGCGAUGAUGCUGCCGGAUGUCUGCCAGCCAGCGCGGACGUCCUCUAGGCACCCACGACGCUGCUGCUGUACCAGGGGGUGAUGGAAUGGACUGGACCACGGGAAAUGUGGACAGGCAUUCCUCUUGAGAUGACUGCAGAUGGCACCCCCUGCUCCCACAACCCCAGCUCUGUCAUGGCCCACCACCCCGAGAAGCCUGAGGAGACCUCCACACAGCCCGCAGAGGGAAGAGAUGAGCCUGUCCCAUGGCCCCCAUCCGAUCCCUGGAUCAACACCCCCUGGGGUCCAAUGAUAGCCCUAGAGGACACAUGCAGGGGUACCCACUGUGAGCCUCGGGUCAAGCAGACCUUUGUGUGCCCUACUCUGUCCAGCAGCGGAGGGGGCAGAGCAGCGUGUUUCCUGUUGGUAUUAUCUUUCCUCAUUUUUUUUUUAAUUUAUGAGAAACUGCUUUAUUGAGAAGAAAGAAUGAUUUAAACGGUCCUGUGGUGCCUGCCGGUCCUUUUCUCGCCUGGGGGAAAGAAAUAAAUAAAUAACAUCCGCUCUGUGAUCUGUAUGCACAGGA
This 672-nucleotide long non-coding RNA is filed under the name Cavia porcellus (domestic guinea pig). RNAcentral's name for it is "lncRNA (ENSCPOG00000035262.1)". Lineage: Eukaryota; Metazoa; Chordata; Mammalia; Rodentia; Caviidae. The record is from RNAcentral.